Molecule: non-coding RNA, 247 nt
Organism: Pimephales promelas (fathead minnow)
Lineage: Eukaryota; Metazoa; Chordata; Actinopteri; Cypriniformes; Leuciscidae
Source: RefSeq, a predicted model, not a curated record
UGCAGCUGAAGCAGACUUUCCUUUUCCAACUGUCUGGAAUAGGGAACGAGGAGUUGUCUUUUGGAUCCUGUCCUAAGCAUUACAUCACCCAAAUAGCAGCAGACAUGACUGGGACGGAAAAGGUUCUGGCCUGGUGCCCAGUGAAACCGUGCUGUCCUCCUCCCUCACACUUCCUGAAGUGGCCACCCCUCCCCUUUCCUUUCUGCUUAGGAACUGCCUUAACUCUACGUGGCAAUGAUUCAACAAG